GUACACUCCUACGGGAGGCAGCAGUGGGGAAUAUUGAACAAUGGGCGCAAGCCUGAUCCAGCCAUGCCGCGUGAGUGAUGAAGGCCCUAGGGUUGUAAAGCUCUUUCACCGGUGAAGAUAAUGACGGUAACCGGAGAAGAAGCCCCGGCUAACUUCGUGCCAGCAGCCGCGGUAAUACGAAGGGGGCUAGCGUUGUUCGGAUUUACUGGGCGUAAAGCGCACGUAGGCGGACUAUUAAGUCAGGGGUGAAAUCCCGGGGCUCAACCCCGGAACUGCCUUUGAUACUGGUAGUCUUGAGUUCGAGAGAGGUGAGUGGAAUUCCGAGUGUAGAGGUGAAAUUCGUAGAUAUUCGGAGGAACACCAGUGGCGAAGGCGGCUCACUGGCUCGAUACUGACGCUGAGGUGCGAAAGCGUGGGGAGCAAACAGGAUUAGAAACCCUUGUAGUCCCAUGA
This 453-nucleotide ribosomal RNA is filed under the name uncultured organism. Its description in RNAcentral is "partial 16S ribosomal RNA". It matches the Rfam family "Bacterial small subunit ribosomal RNA", at positions 331 to 800 of the family's 1533-position model. The record is from RNAcentral.